Molecule: transfer RNA, 83 nt
Filed under: Candidatus Cloacimonas sp. 4484_209
Lineage: Bacteria; Pseudomonadati; Candidatus Cloacimonadota; Cloacimonadia (SeqCode); Cloacimonadales (SeqCode); Cloacimonadaceae (SeqCode)
Also listed under: 2 other names
Description: tRNA-Ser
Rfam family: tRNA
About the family: Transfer RNA (tRNA) molecules are approximately 80 nucleotides in length. Their secondary structure includes four short double-helical elements and three loops (D, anti-codon, and T loops).
Source: RNAcentral
GGAGGAGUGGCCGAGUGGUUUAAGGCGGUGGUCUUGAAAACCACUGUGCGAAAGCACCGUAGGUUCGAAUCCUACCUCCUCCG